RNAcentral lists this ribosomal RNA (434 nucleotides) under uncultured bacterium. Its description in RNAcentral is "partial 16S ribosomal RNA". It matches the Rfam family "Bacterial small subunit ribosomal RNA", at positions 29 to 507 of the family's 1533-position model. The record is from RNAcentral.
AGCGAACGCUGGCGGCAGGCCUAACACAUGCAAGUCGUACGAACCUUUCGGGGUUAGUGGCGGACGGGUGAGUAACACGUGGGAACGUGCCUUUAGGUUCGGAAUAACUCAGGGAAACUUGUGCUAAUACCGAAUGUGCCCUUCGGGGGAAAGAUUUAUCGCCUUUAGAGCGGCCCGCGUCUGAUUAGCUAGUUGGUUGAGGUAAUGGCUCACCAAGGCGACGAUCAGUAGCUGGUCUGAGAGGAUGAUCAGCCACAUUGGGACUGAGACACGGCCCAAACUCCUACGGGAGGCAGCAGUGGGGAAUCUUGCGCAAUGGGCGAAAGCCUGACGCAGCCAUGCCGCGUGAAUGAUGAAGGUCUUAGGAUUGUAAAAUUCUUUCACCGGGGACGAUAAUGACGGUACCCGGAGAAGAAGCCCCGGCUAACUUCGUG